UACGAAGGGGGCUAGCGUUGUUCGGAAUCACUGGGCGUAAAGGGCGCGUAGGCGGCUGUUCAAGUCGGGGGUGAAAUCCCGUGGCUCAACCACGGAAUGGCCUUCGAUACUGGACGGCUCGAGACCGGAAGAGGUGAGUGGAACUGCGAGUGUAGAGGUGAAAUUCGUAGAUAUUCGCAAGAACACCAGUGGCGAAGGCGGCUCACUGGUCCGGUUCUGACGCUGAGGCGCGAAAGCGUGGGGAGCGAACAGG
This 253-nucleotide ribosomal RNA is filed under the name uncultured bacterium. Its description in RNAcentral is "partial 16S ribosomal RNA". It matches the Rfam family "Bacterial small subunit ribosomal RNA", at positions 524 to 776 of the family's 1533-position model. The record is from RNAcentral.